UACAGAGGGUGCAAGCGUUAAUCGGAAUUACUGGGCGUAAAGCGUGCGUAGGCGGUUAUGUAAGUCAGAUGUGAAAGCCCCGGGCUCAACCUGGGAAUUGCAUCUGAGACUGCAUAGCUAGGGUGCGGAAGAGGGAAGCGGAAUUUCCGGUGUAGCGGUGAAAUGCGUAGAUAUCGGAAGGAACACCAGUGGCGAAAGCGGCUUCCUGGUCCAGCACCGACGUUCAGGCACGAAAGCGUGGGGAGCAAACAGG
RNAcentral lists this ribosomal RNA (253 nucleotides) under uncultured bacterium. RNAcentral's name for it is "partial 16S ribosomal RNA". It matches the Rfam family "Bacterial small subunit ribosomal RNA", at positions 524 to 776 of the family's 1533-position model. The record is from RNAcentral.